Molecule: small nuclear RNA, 107 nt
Filed under: Prolemur simus (greater bamboo lemur)
Lineage: Eukaryota; Metazoa; Chordata; Mammalia; Primates; Lemuridae
Source: RNAcentral
GUGCUCGCUUCGGCAGCACGUAUGCUGCAAUCGGAACGAUACAGAGAAGAGGAGCGUGGCCCCUGCGCAAGGAUGACACGCAAAUUCGUGAAGCGUUCCGUAUUUUA